UUAAUUUAUUUAUUUUCCUUUUUUACACCAACCGCAACCGCCCGCAACCGCAAACGCUUGCGGGAAGGAGCUUUUGAAAUCCAGCGAUUUCGAGCGGUUCGAAGCGGUGUGGAGCGGUUUCUAUGAUUGGUACCAACCGCUAGCAACCGCAACCGACCGCUAACAACCGCUAGGCGGGUGCUAGCGGGAGAACCAAUCAAGCCCUAA
RNAcentral lists this long non-coding RNA (207 nucleotides) under Arabidopsis lyrata. Its description in RNAcentral is "long non-coding RNA (ALYR_LNC002902)". Lineage: Eukaryota; Viridiplantae; Streptophyta; Magnoliopsida; Brassicales; Brassicaceae. The record is from RNAcentral.